CUUUCACAGGGGCAAACGACUCCGAAGGCGGGUAGUGCGUCUACACUCCUGAGCUUUCAUUGGCUACGCGAACGGUGGUUAUGAAUAAUUCAUAACGGACGACGCUCAGCCAAUCCGAAUGCACGUUUUUCUCCCCAACGAAUCAAAAUCGGAGUAAGGCGGGAAGUCAUAAAACACGUCUUCCUAUUGGUCUAUCUUUAGAAAAGGCGUAACUACAAGAGGUACGGGUGUAAUUAAAUGUAAAUAUUCAACAACGCGAAAGGUGAUUUGUGGGCAUGAGUAUGAAUAUGUACGACCAAGUAAGAACUGACCAAUCGAAGUGAGCUAUAGCGAUGUUCGUAUCGUCCCGCCUCUUUUACGAACAUUGCCGAUGUUUGCCGAAGGCUGUUUUCCCCGUCUGAGCAAAAGUAAAAAAACGCUACUGUUCCGUCCGUCUCGCCCUGGACCAGCUACGAGUGUUGGAAACGAAGCUCGCGCGAAAGGCCUACCUCAACCAUUGAAGAUCCAAACAUAUACAUUUUCUUUAGUUUUAAUGAUAAACGGCUCAAAGUCGUUUUGACAAUAUUCUUUAGCAUGAUUUUAAGUAUGACCGCUAUUCUUGGUAGCAUUUCUUAACAUUUGCUACUGUUUUAUGGGAAAUUGCAAGAAGCCUCGGAGUCGAGUUAAAGCAAUGGCCGGACAACUGACACUGAAUUUCGGUAUGCGGAGUUGGAAAGCCCCCGGAAAGCCUGGAGCUUUGUACCAACUACAUCUUUUAAUCAUUUUUAUAUACAAAAUAUCAGAAGGUAUCGUUUAGUGUUUGUGAGACGAUUGCUUAAAAGGGUGGUACGUAUUUUAAGUUUUGAUCCAUAUUUUUUUUGAGAUUUUACGUUGUAGGCCGUCGUAAGGCUCCAGCGGAUAACGUUAGAGAACACUAAUCUAUAGAAACAGAAAGACGAGCUUAAAAAAAAACACUAUUUGAGAAAUGAUUCCGAUGAUAUGUUAAGACAAUAGCGAAUUUUACUUUAAUGUAGACGUCUUGUGUUUGUUGUUGUUAUUAUUACUAUUAUUAGUAUUUUGUCGUCUGAAACAAAAAAGUGCGUUAGGUAACACUGGGUGUAAUACUAACGUUAUAAUAUAGUAUGAAGGUUAGCAUUUAUCUCCGUGUUAUUUAAAUUACACUACGUCACUGAUAUACUGUAGUAUUCGUUACACUAUACUAUAUUCUAUAUUCUACACUAUAUUCUAUUCUAUAUUCUACACUAUAUUCUAUUUUAUAUUCUACACUAUAUUCGUUACACGUCGUUGACUUUGAUCACCACCUUGAUUUAGCGCUUUUUUAAAAAUAAAUAAAUAAAUAAAAAUAGAGAAUUUUUUUUCUCGUGCUACAACUCGCCGUCUUUCGAAGGAGGACGUUAAAGCACAACAUGGCGGCCGUGGUUUUAGCUUCUUAGCUUAGCAUAGUUCUCUCUCCUCCACAACAACAGUGAAGUGAGGGGAUAAUACAAAUUAAUUCCCGAGUCUUCAUAUCGACGAUAAAUAAUGUUUUAAAGACCCACAUCGUUUAUACAUUUAAUUUGAUUUCCUAAACCUAGAAUAGACGAUUUUGUAAGUCACCUUUUAGGUCGUCAGGUGGAAUUUUAGUCUUGUUUUUUUUUUCGUCCUUAAAAUAAUAUUAAUAUUCCGCUAGAUUAGCCAGUCGAGGUAACUCUUAUUGUCGAAACUGAAGUAUUUAAGAAAACAAAGAAAAUAAUAACAAAUGCUGGCUAAGUUUCCAAGUACUUUGUGUAUCUAGGUGAGAUUAGUUGCCAUGGUGAUUGUUUUUGAUAAAGUAGCACUGAAAUACACGUUAAUGUUAUGUUAUUACUGUAGAAAAGGGUGUGUAAUAUAGCUUAUUAGUUAUAUAUUUAUUUAUUUUUCAAGUACGGGGGGGGGGGGGGGGGUGUCGGUAACUUGCUCUUGCACGCGCGCAAUGCUAAGUAAGCUAGCUAGCUAGCAUAAUGUUGGUCUAGCAAUUGUCUUCGGUCGGACAUUAAAACGACAAUUUGUUCGAUGUUGAAACGAUUAUGAGCUAGUAUGUCGGUUUGUUUUUAAGUACUAGCUAAUUAUCGAACAUUAGGCAGCAGGUUAGUUAGCUAGCCAGCUAGUUUUCUUAGCCAGCUAACAGUAAAAGCUUUGUUAUAUGUAACUUGGGUGUGUUUUCAGCGUCGCUGAGGUUUUUUUUUAAUCUAUAUACACGUACAUGUGUAUUUGGUUAAAGAGCAUGUUCUUAGCUAUAUUAUUUAAAAUAAUAAUGAUUAUAAAAACGGCUCUAAUCUGUCGUCGGGGGUGUUAUUGGUGUUUCAGUAUGGCGGAGGCGUCUGUGUAAUAAAAAUGGAGUCUGUUCUGUUCAGGGUUGUUGUUUUGUAAGGACGAGACAGAGAGAGAAGUCAGGCUGAAUCAUUUGCCCCAGCUAAACGUGUCUCCUUCCUUAUUAUAUAUUUUUCAGCGUCUAAGAAGUCAUUUCAGGCCACUGAUUAAAUGAUCCAGAUUGACUAGGCUGAAAAAACAAAUCGAGGGAAUCGCUGUCGUGCCACGGCGGCAGGAUCACAUUAUCUGCUUCACCAGUAAGUCAGGUUAGAGAGGACUUCUCUCUGUUGCCAACACUCUUUUCAGGGGAAAGAAUCUAAAGCUUGCUCAGAAAGUGGCUAGAAGUCGCUGGGUGACGUCAUGGAGACGUUAAUUUGCAUAUUACUUUUAUUAAAUCCUGAUCAUUGGUGUGUGGAGUUCCCGAUGCGGGUACAGGAAGGAAGGAAGGUUUUUCGGGAUAGAAUGGAGUUUUACUAGAAUAUAAAAUAAUAGAUUGGGAGUUAGUUUCUCCUAAGUAUAAUUGAUGUCUUAUCGAAAGAAGUCAUGUUUGGUCAUGGCGCCAUGCACAAGCUAAACUUUUACGUGUUUAUUGUACUUUGUGUCAAGAAUGUGGACACAAUGAAGUAGUCCUGAUGGAAAUGUUUACUCGCGUCUCCAAGAAGAGCGCUUAUAAGUGCAAGGGUGAGGCAAACAAUGGUGAUCAGUGAUUGAUCGGCUGGGAACAACAGUGAUUGGGAUUGGUUAUUGAAGAGUGGUGAUCAGUGAUUGGCUGUUGGGAACAAUGGAGAUCAGUGAUUGGCUUGUUGGGAACAAUGGAGAUCAGUGAUUGGCUUGUUGGGAACAAUGGAGAUCAGUGAUUGGCUUGUUGGGAACAAUGGAGAUCAGUGAUUGGCUUGUUGGGAACAAUGGAGAUCAGUGAUUGGCCUGUUGGGAACAGUGGAGAUCGGUGCCUGUCCUGUUGGGAACAGUGGAGAUCAGUGAUUGGUCAUUGGGAACAAUGGAGAUAAGUGAUUGGCCAUUGGGAACAGUGGAGAUCAGUGCCUGGCCUGUUGGGAACAGUGGAGAUCGGGUGAUUGGCCUGUUGGGAACAGUGGAGAUCGGUGCCUGGCCUGUUGGGAACAGUGGAGAUCAGUGCCUGGCCUGUUGGGAACAGUGGAGAUCAGUGCCUGGCCUGUUGGGAACAGUGGAGAUCGGGUGAUUGGCCUGUUGGGAACAGUGGAGAUCAGUGCCUGGCCUGUUGGGAACAGUGGAGAUCAGUGCCUGGCCUGUUGGGAACAGUGGAGAUCGGGUGAUUGGCCUGUUGGGAACAGUGGAGAUCAGUGCCUGGCCUGUUGGGAACAGUGGAGAUCAGUGCCUGGCCUGUUGGGAACAGUGGAGAUCGGGUGAUUGGCCUGUUGGGAACAGUGGAGAUCAGUGCCUGGCCUGUUGGGAACAGUGGAGAUCGGGUGAUUGGCCUGUUGGGAACAGUGGAGAUUGGAUGUUGGAAACAGUGGAGAUUGGGUGAUUAGAUGUUGGGAACAAUCCCGCUUUGCAUUUAUUUCCUAAUUUGUAAGUCGCUUUGGAUAAAAGCGUCUGCUAAAUAAAUAAAUGUAAAUGAGAACAAUGAUGGUCAGUGAUUGGACACAAUUUUAUAUUCAAGAAACGUCAGGACUCUGAAUAUCGGUGAUCUACAGCACAUGUUCCUGACCCUGGCCCUAGAAAACCCCCUGUCCUGCACAUGAUGUUCUGCUCCCAACACACCGGAUUCAGCUUAGGAAUGGAUGUUCAUUAGAUGAUUAGUUGAGUCAGGUGUGAUGGGAGGAGGGGAAAACUCUAAAAUGUGCAAGACAGCGGGUUCUCCAUGACCAAGAUCGUCACCCUGGACCUUGACGGAGGAGAGUCUUGUGACUGUGAGGACCCCAGGCAGGAACAUUUGAGGGGUGCCCAUGGUUUAUGUUAUGCCUCGUAUUAUGAAACUAUAAGAUAACUGUGUGAAGUGCCAGCAUUUAUAGACGCUAAAUGUAGCGCUGGAUCAAGCCUCCCAAUUAGAUAAACCAUCGUCACAUGACACAACCUACAGCGGAACACGUUUAUUAUUAGAUUCUCCCCAGCAUGCGCCACAGUUAUGCUUCUUCUUUCCUCUUCUAUUUCUUUUCUGGUUUCCAGACAGGUGAGUUCUCCUCGUUUUGAAAUACAGGACACUUCAAAUGGUUAUAGAGAUGUGCAUCAGCGGCCCGUGUUGUCUGGAGAACCCAGUGAACGGCAAGUUUCAGUGAUUUCUCUACUCUAACACACCUGAACCAGAUAAUUGCCUAAUUAACAGCCGUUUCUCGGUUGAAUGAGGUGUGUAGUGCAGGAAAAACACGACGAUUCUCCAUGAUUAAGGGUGGGAACGAGUGCUUUAUCGUUUUGUAGAAGGCCAGUAUGCAGUGCUGAUGUUUCUUGAGUGUAAAGUGUGUGUGUGUGUGGUACAUUUAGAGGCGUUAUGGUUUGCAAUUUUGACCGUGAUAAUUAAGUCUAAAUCUAUAUGGACUUUUGCAGUGAUGUUUUGUUGGUAAAUAAGACCUUUCAGCUGUACUCCUGUUCGAUGAGGGCUUCUGCAGAACGCAUGUCGUGAUGACGUCACACGAUGUGUCUCGGGCCAAAUCUGCGGCAAACUAUCGCGCCGUUUGCUUGGUUUUGCCUUCUGCAAUUGCGAAAUUCUGGUUGGGCUGAAUAUAUAACGACGACGCGACUUAUACUGACCACGUAAGAGAUUUUAUGGCGGAAUUUAUAUCGGAGAAAUGAACGCGAAAUCAAGGAAAUCUACGCGAUAUUAAAAAAAAGUCCUUAAAACUGGUUUGGCGGUAUAAAAAAAAAAGAAUUGGUGGACGGUAGUGGAUAGAAAGAAAUCGGCGUUUGUGAAAAUGCCAGCAGUGACGAUACUGUAAUGGUCCGGUUUGUAUUAUACCCUGCUUUAAAAAAAAAAAAAAAAACUUCGACAGACACCACACCUCAAUCCCAAAAUCAUAAUCAUCACAAAUAUAAACCUUUUUUUUUUUUUUUUGUAUGGUAAAUGUUGAUUCUUGAUCCAAUGUGAUCUUAAGCUCAAAUGUUAGUAAAACACUUCACCUGUCUGUUUUAGAUCUUUAACACCACAUUUACAUAAAAGUUCAUGUAAAGUAAGCUUAAAAAAAAAAACAUUAAAAAAAAGGUUCCUGAUCCUGUUUUGUUGGAGGAGUUUAGGUGCUUUACAUGGGCGUGUAAUGACUUGUCUGACUCGUUUACUCGUCUCAGAUUAAUUCGGUCAGUAUAGUGUUACUCGAUCUAAAUUGAAUGCUUAGAAGUGUUGAAAAUGUAACAGCCUGCUGGAAAGAACUCGGUUAGCGUUCGAUUCGUUAUUUACCGGAUCCCGAAUCGGCGUGUGAAAUCGCGUGUACGGCGUUUUAUUUACAAUCCGAGAGCUCGACUACUUUGCAGUGCUGAUUUUGUUAUUCUUAAAUGUGUGUAUGCAUUUUCAAACCCUGUUCAGAAUAAAACCUGAUUUUUACACCACA
Ictalurus punctatus (channel catfish) is the source of this 5843-nucleotide long non-coding RNA. RefSeq lists it as uncharacterized. The record is from RefSeq and is a predicted model, not a curated record. Lineage: Eukaryota; Metazoa; Chordata; Actinopteri; Siluriformes; Ictaluridae. The transcript has 2 exons.